AAGAGCAGGAAGAUCACUGACAUCGAUCAGUGUAGGAGAGGCGGGAGCAGUAGAGGAUACCCCAGCAGUAGCAGUAGUAGACUGAGGACGAGUGUCUCGAUAGGUAGGAUUAUUCGGACAAUCGGACCUAUAAUGGCCAGGACCUCGCUGGCGACAGUUUUUGCAAACCCGAAUAGGACAAGUGAGCAAGCAAUGGUCAGUAGCAUGACACAAGGUGCACUCAUUAGGCCGAGAGACUGAACCAGAGGAUUGAGAACCAGAAGCUGAAAAACCGCGAGAACCACCAGAGGAGCCACGACCUCUAGAACCAGGAGUAGCAAGAGCAGUGUCCACAUGGGAAGUCGAAACCAAG
This 352-nucleotide long non-coding RNA is filed under the name Actinidia chinensis (golden kiwifruit). RNAcentral describes it as "long non-coding RNA (ACHI_LNC001877)". The record is from RNAcentral. Lineage: Eukaryota; Viridiplantae; Streptophyta; Magnoliopsida; Ericales; Actinidiaceae.